GUGAAAUAGAACCUGAAACCGCAUGCUUACAAAAAGUCGGAGCCUCUUUAAGGGGUGACGGCGUACCUUUUGUAUAAUGGGUCAGCGACUUACAUUCAGUGGCAAGCUUAACCGAGUAGGGAAGGCGCAGGGAAACCGAGUCCGAACAGGGCGAUUUCAGUCGCUGGGUGUAGACCCGAAACCAGGUGAUCUACCCAUGUCCAGGGUGAAGGUAGGGUAAUACCUACUGGAGGCCCGAACCCACGCACGUUGAAAAGUGCGGGGAUGAGGUGUGGGUAGGGGUGAAAUGCCAAUCGAACUUGGAGAUAGCUGGUUCUCCCCGAAAUCUAUUUAGGUAGAGCCUCGGACGAAUACUUACGGGGGUAGAGCACUGUUAAGGCUAGGGGGUCAUCCCGACUUACCAACCCUUUGCAAACUCCGAAUACCGUAAAGUAAUAUC
Molecule: ribosomal RNA, 439 nt
Filed under: Oxyrrhis marina
Lineage: Eukaryota; Dinophyceae; Oxyrrhinales; Oxyrrhinaceae
Description: partial Bacterial large subunit ribosomal RNA
Rfam family: Bacterial large subunit ribosomal RNA
Source: RNAcentral